Molecule: ribosomal RNA, 700 nt
Filed under: uncultured bacterium
Lineage: Bacteria
Description: bacterial SSU rRNA
Rfam family: Bacterial small subunit ribosomal RNA
Source: RNAcentral
AGAGUUUGAUCCUGGCUCAGAUUGAACGCUGGCGGCAUGCCUUACACAUGCAAGUCGAACGGUAACGCGGGGCAACCUGGCGACGAGUGGCGAACGGGUGAGUAAUACAUCGGAACGUGCCCAGUAGUGGGGGAUAGCCCGGCGAAAGCCGGAUUAAUACCGCAUACGACCUACGGGUGAAAGCAGGGGAUCGCAAGACCUUGCGCUAUUGGAGCGGCCGAUGUCAGAUUAGCUAGUUGGUGGGGUAAAGGCCUACCAAGGCGACGAUCUGUAGCUGGUCUGAGAGGACGACCAGCCACACUGGGACUGAGACACGGCCCAGACUCCUACGGGAGGCAGCAGUGGGGAAUUUUGGACAAUGGGGGCAACCCUGAUCCAGCCAUGCCGCGUGCGGGAAGAAGGCCUUCGGGUUGUAAACCGCUUUUGUCGGGGAAGAAACGGUCUGCGCUAAUACCGCGGACUAACGACGGUACCCGAAGAAUAAGCACCGGCUAACUACGUGCCAGCAGCCGCGGUAAUACGUAGGGUGCAAGCGUUAAUCGGAAUUACUGGGCGUAAAGCGUGCGCAGGCGGCUUUGCAAGACAGAUGUGAAAUCCCCGGGCUCAACCUGGGAACUGCAUUUGUGACUGCAUGGCUGGAGUGCGGCGGAGGGGGAUGGAAUUCCGCGUGUAGCAGUGAAAUGCGUAGAUAUGCGGAGGA